Molecule: long non-coding RNA, 1659 nt
Filed under: Lactuca sativa (garden lettuce)
Lineage: Eukaryota; Viridiplantae; Streptophyta; Magnoliopsida; Asterales; Asteraceae
Description: long non-coding RNA (LSAT_LNC008412)
Source: RNAcentral
CAAUGUAUCAACAAAAUAUAAGUUAUAAUAAACGUCGUCACUUCUUCACGAGGUACUAGAUGUGGUAUUGAAUCCCGUACCUCAUUGCCAUUAAUCGUUGCGUUUGGUGUCAAGAUUUGGUUUGUUGAUUUGAUGUUAUCCCCAUGAUUAAAAAAAAAUACAAAUAUUUACACAUACAUUGCUUCUGCACACUACGGCGCAGUGUGGUUAUGCAGACUGUGGGUCCUACACUCACAACUUCGUCUCAUGCUCGGUUAAUCUCCCAUCGGUGUUAUGAUCGCGGUAACUCCAACUCUGAAGUCUACUUUGCCGCUUCAUGCCUUGUGUAUAUGCAUUUUAUGUUUAUCCCACAAGUCUCAUCCUCUACCUUAAUCGGAUUGAGGAGUCUACUCUUCCGUAGAAUAUCACAUGUGGUGUUUUGUUAUUUAAUGUUUGUGUAAAUGUUGUUGCUCCUUUUUCUUUUAACGUUGUGUUUUUGCCAACCUCUUGCUAGUUUUAAUCGAAAAAAUGAUUUAAAACUGCAACCAAUAAUCCAUAAUUUGUUCCUUAAGUCGCUAAACUAUUAAUUAUAUCUAAUAAACUAACCAACUUUUUAUUUUGGUUUUAAAAUAUCAUCCAUUACGAUUUUUAUCUAGAAAAAUGUCAACGAACACCGUCGUUGCCCUUGUCACGUCUAAUUAAUUGUCUAUCGUAAUGACAAUGUCACAAAACAAUAAUAUGACGUUACUAAUAGUUAUCAGUUGUGGUUUGAAAAAAACAAUUACUAGAAGCUUUUAGUUGGAUGUGACAAACGCAAUGACGGUGUCCGUUGUCAUUUUAAUCGAUAAAAAUCAUACUCGUUUGUAUUUUAAAACCAAAAUAAAAAGUUGGUUUCAUUAUUUGAUACAAAUAAGGACAUGUUCAGCACAAAGUGUUUUGGAGCAUUUGAAAGCUUUUAACUUCUAACGUUUGACAAAACGUUCUGUUUUGAACAAGAAACUUUAUUUGGCAUUACGAGCUUCUGGCGUUUAGUUUAAGCAAAACGUUCCAAAUUCAAAUGCUACUUCAUGUAGCAUUUAACAAAACACUACAAACUACAAACUACCCGCUACCCGUUAUAAGCUACCUGAUACCAACUAGUUUUAAUACGUCAUAAAAGUACAGUGACUUAAAGAACAAAUUUUGUGUUAGUAGUUAUUAUUUUAAGUUAUUUUACCAUUUUAAUUACAAAGUUGUGUCAUUAAACAUAUAGCCGCAUGACAUUGAAUUAAAUACCCCAAGUUAAUCAAAUGCAUCUACCUUCUUUACCUAAGAAAUUCACUCGGGAAUAUGAUUUAUUAAGGUAAUCAACUUUUCGGUAUGUUUACAUCUGGAUAACUAUCUUUUUUUGUACACAUGUAGGUAACAAACUUGUUGGAAGUGUUCACAUAUGACCAUUAUGACCUGCUAUAGCAGGUUAAAUCUUAGAUGUGAACUAGGGAUGAGCAUAAGCGAGUACCCGCCCUAAUUAUCUGGAACUAGAGCCGGAACCGGUGGUUCUUGAGAUAUAGGAACCAGAACCGGAACCGGUUCCGGUACCGGGUACCCGGUUGUUUUAAGCAUUUUUAGUAUUUUUUUUAUUUGAAAAUUUGCUUGCCUAUUAUAAAGCUAUAAACAUAAAUAACUAGGUGAAUGCUCGCG